GAAAAUGUAGCUCAGUUGGAAGAGUGCACAACAAAAGUGAGGUCGGUGGUUCAAGUCCACCCAUUUUCUA
Molecule: transfer RNA, 70 nt
Filed under: Caudoviricetes sp.
Lineage: Duplodnaviria; Heunggongvirae; Uroviricota; Caudoviricetes
Description: tRNA-Leu
Rfam family: tRNA
About the family: Transfer RNA (tRNA) molecules are approximately 80 nucleotides in length. Their secondary structure includes four short double-helical elements and three loops (D, anti-codon, and T loops).
Source: RNAcentral